UGCCGAGACGCACUUCGUAUCCUCAACUCCCAGCCCACCUCCUCCUUCCCGUCUCUGCUCAAAUCUCUACAUUUUCUCCGGCUCCAUGCCAAGUUCAUGAGCGGGGUUUGGUGGCUUCGGAUUUGAUAGAUCCCCGGUAGUCCCAUGGGUGGAUUCAGUGGCAACUGCGGGUUGGGGGUCGUGGCGUUCUAUGUGCCCCAUGCAAAAUUCAUGAGCACGGAAUUGGUGGCCUCAGAUUCGAUCGAUACCCGGCUGUACUGCAUGGGUGGAUCGACGACAACCGCAGGACAGGGCCGUGCUCUUCUUCUCUCUCUGGAUCAUGCUCGCGGCCCUCAACAGGCUGGUGCGGCCAACGCCAAAUGGGUGCCAGAUGACCUACAUGUAUCCAUCCUACAUCCUCAUCCCUGCUCCCAACAACAUCUCCUCGGACAAGUACGGGCUGUUUCUAUAACACGGGGACUUGGAACUAGAUCGACUUCUAUCUGCUGCAACUUCCUGACGCAUGAUUUGGCAGCAAGCUACUUGACAACUUGUUGUAGAUAGUGAAGGAACCUUGGAUUGGAGAAAGGUGCUAUCUGGAACAUGUCUCAUCAUUGCCAGUUAGAACUACAAACCAUGCUAAUGUUGUCAGUUUUGUCCUCCUUCACAGAUUUUGUCCUUUACUAGCUUUAGUGGUUCACUUUCGCCAUUAGAAAUCUAAGCUUCAAAACUUUACAAAGAGCAACAUGCAAUGGUUCAUAUGUAGCUAGGUCUGAUAGAUAGUGCUUCCUUUCCUGUCCUUGGCCAUGGAGUUCAUUCUUGCAUAUGUAUUGUGUUCUUACGAGCAAUAUUGGAAAAUAUGUUUGGCACCACCUAAUCAUUUUGUGAAUACUUGCUGGAGAUUAUAUGCUAAAUUGAG
Triticum dicoccoides is the source of this 898-nucleotide long non-coding RNA. RefSeq lists it as uncharacterized. NCBI's taxonomy places the organism in Eukaryota, Viridiplantae, Streptophyta, Magnoliopsida, Poales, Poaceae. The record is from RefSeq and is a predicted model, not a curated record. The transcript has 3 exons.